This is a long non-coding RNA of Eptesicus fuscus (big brown bat), 285 nucleotides long. RefSeq lists it as uncharacterized. Lineage: Eukaryota; Metazoa; Chordata; Mammalia; Chiroptera; Vespertilionidae. The transcript has 3 exons. The record is from RefSeq and is a predicted model, not a curated record.
CAGAAACAUCGAUGAUGAGAGAGAAACAUCGAUCAGCUGCCUCCUGCACACCCCCCACCAGUUUCUGUAGGAUAUGGGCCUCUGUGAUCCAUCUCCAGCAUGGUUGGCUUUUGAUGGAAAUGGCUGCUGAAUUUCCCCAGAGCAAACCGAAUGUAGGGAGGAGAGAAAAGGAUGUAAGAGCAAGGAACUGUGGACAUGGAGAAUUUCUUAGUUUGAAACCCAGAAAAAGGCUCCCUCCGGAAACUGAUCAUGUUGGCACCGUGACCUUGGACUUCCAGCUUCCAG